RNAcentral lists this ribosomal RNA (503 nucleotides) under uncultured bacterium. Its description in RNAcentral is "partial 16S ribosomal RNA". It matches the Rfam family "Bacterial small subunit ribosomal RNA", at positions 30 to 523 of the family's 1533-position model. The record is from RNAcentral.
AUUGAACGCUGGCGGCAGGCUUAACACAUGCAAGUCGAGCGGGGUGAUGGUGCUUGCACUAUCACUUAGCGGCGGACGGGUGAGUAAUGCUUAGGAAUCUGCCUAUUAGUGGGGGACAACAUCUCGAAAGGGAUGCUAAUACCGCAUACGUCCUACGGGAGAAAGCAGGGGAUCACUUGUGACCUUGCGCUAAUAGAUGAGCCUAAGUCGGAUUAGCUAGUUGGUGGGGUAAAGGCCUACCAAGGCGAAGAUCUGUAGCGGGUCUGAGAGGAUGAUCCGCCACACUGGGACUGAGACACGGCCCAGACUCCUACGGGAGGCAGCAGUGGGGAAUAUUGGACAAUGGGGGGAACCCUGAUCCAGCCAUGCCGCGUGUGUGAAGAAGGCCUUAUGGCUGUAAAGCACUUUAAGCGAGGAGGAGGCUCUUUUGGUUAAUACCCAAGAUGAGUGGACGUUACUCGCAGAAUAAGCACCGGCUAACUCUGUGCCAGCCGCCGCAGUAA